This 266-nucleotide long non-coding RNA is filed under the name Erythranthe guttata (spotted monkey flower). Its description in RNAcentral is "long non-coding RNA (EGUT_LNC002228)". The record is from RNAcentral. Lineage: Eukaryota; Viridiplantae; Streptophyta; Magnoliopsida; Lamiales; Phrymaceae.
UGCUCUAAUUGAUAGAUUUUUUGUUUUAUAGGUGAAAAUAGAAAAUUAGGUGUUCAUGAAGGAAAGUGGAUCAAAAAGAAAGAAAAAGUUGCAAUUAAGGAGAUAUAAUCAAAUUCGAAGAAGAAAUCCCGCAACAGUUUUAGUAGUGUCGACUAUUGCGAUCAUAUCUCUCUUAUCCGAACACAAAUCACUUGAUUCUAACGGCAUUGGAAUGCUAACUGGAAGGGCUACAUUUUUUAUCUCACGCAAGUUUUCAAAAUUCAGAC